This 5731-nucleotide long non-coding RNA is filed under the name Homo sapiens (human). RNAcentral describes it as "uncharacterized LOC105377785, transcript variant 4 (LOC105377785)". The record is from RNAcentral. Lineage: Eukaryota; Metazoa; Chordata; Mammalia; Primates; Hominidae.
AGAGGAAGGAGAGAUCAUGGCGGACGGGAGGCAAGACUAGCCUGCAGCUCUGGACAGAGCAGCGAGUGGGAGCUCGCAUUGUAAACUUUAGCUCCAGAUGGACGGCAAAAACAAACCAGCAAUCCCCAGAGGACCCACAGACCCUCUGAAGGAAGUGGGCUGCUCCUGCAGGACCCGGGAGACCCCCAAAACUGUGAGUGUCCAGCUGCCGAAGUGGGAAAGGGAAACCCUCCUCUCCGGAACAGACACCCCCUGAGAAGUCUAUUUGUGGGAGAAGUUUCCGACUUUACCUGGAGCUGAGUCAGUCUGGAGAGCUGACUGAAAUACAGGGAUAGAGGAGGCAGCAGCAAGGCCCUGGGAGCUGAAUGGGUCCCCGGGCAGCCCAUUCCUGCCUGGCACCACAGGGAUCCAACGGGAGAGGAACAGAGGGUAAAACUACACGGAGAGAAGGAAAUCUCUAGCUGAACUUUGUAACAAUUCGAACAGCGUGAGAAGUCUCCUGGCCAGAACUCGGGGGAGGACACAAAUCUCCUGCACAGUUAAUAUCCAGAGUCACACGUGGAGAGGAAGCAUCACAAUGAGACCAUACAACCAUAUAAUCUGUUCAAGUCCUAGAAGGUGUUGGCAGAGCUGCAGGACUGACCUAGGUCAAUGGCUGUGGGGGAAGAAAAGACACCAGAUGUUUCCGAUCAAGAGACAAGAGAAACAUUCAGCGUGACCCUAGAAAAUCUUUCUAAAGAGAUUUCACAACACUCAGCUCAUGUUUCGGGUCCAUGAAACCAUCUUUAGAUGAAUGAUGCCUUGUUACCUGUGAGAGGAAGUGAGCAGCGAGGAGUCCUGUCAGUUCCGGAAGGAGUAUUUGGGUUACUGUUCUUCAUUGUCUGCAGUUCUGUCUUGCUCAGUCGCCCAGGCUGAAGUGCAGUGGUGUGAUCAUAGCUCACUGCAGCCUCAACUUCCUGGAGUCAAGCAAGCCUCCCACAUCAGCCUCCUGAGUAGAUUGGAGACCUGUUGUGUGUUACCUUUGGAAGGUUUUCCACAGUUGAGAUCCAGUUGCUCCAGCAUCAUUUGUUGAGUGGUCUCUCUUCAUCCACAGAGCUCCAGAGUGUCUCCUCUUACAGGACUUCUACACGUUGGGCACAAAUUUCAGCAUGGCGUUAAGAAGAACUGAAAAGGCAAGAAGUUUAAAAAACAAAGGCUACAUUAAUCCUGAAGAGUUUAAAAUGCAUCAACGAAUUUGUUUAAGCUGUGCAACAGACAUGGUAUCUAGUGGACCAGAGACAGUAUCUGGGAUACAGAGAAUGAUGAAUAAAUAUGAGGUGUUUUUAAUUUCUUCUUCUCUUCCUUGGGAUAAAUUAGAAGAAAGUGGAACCUACAUACAAAAAAAGCUUUUCAUACUUAAAAGCCCACUCUUUUGAGUUCAGUUAAUCUCUCAUUCUGCAAGAACAAGUUUUGUGUCCAAUGCACAGAUGCCACGGCAGAUUGGAGUCUUGGUCUGUCACCCAGGCUGGGGUGCAGCGGCACGAUCUCUGCUCACUGCAACCUCCAUCUCCAGGGUUCAAGCAAUUCUCCUGCUUCAGCCCCUCCUAGUAGCUGGGAUUACAGAUGUAUGCCACCAUGCCAGGCUAAUUAUUGUAUUUUUAGUAGAAAUGGGGUUUUGCCAUCGGCCAGGCUCGUCUUGAACUCCUGACCUCAGGUGAUCCACCUGCCUCAGCCUCCCAAAGUGCUGGGAUUACAGGCGUGAGCCACCACGCCUGGCCAAUUUUACCUCUUUCAAGUAAAAGAAAGAAUGCUUACAAAACUCCCUAUAUUCUUGACGAAGCAAUGACAAAAAUGUAUGCAACACGGAUGAGGCAGGGAGUGCCGCUGUUUCUAGGACUGCAAAGCUGCCCAGCAGACCCAGACUCUGCACCUCCACCCUCCUACUAUCAGCUUUUCUCUCCACCCAGUUUAUCCUGUGAUAAAAUCAAGGAGGAGGAAUCCAUGACACCACUUGGCCAGGGAUCCAUUUACAAUGAAUUGAUAAGCAAAUUAAAUGUGGAGUCAGGAAAAGGAGUUUGAAGGAAACAAAACGGGAAGGAGAUCAAAAAAGGAAAGCGUGAACAUGGCACCUCUCCUGUUCUCUUUCUUUGUAUAGGCAAAACUGAAAGUUUGCUGUUCCCUUUUACAGUGAAGAUUAAACAGGUGUAUAUUGUGACCUAAUAACAAAAGACAAUGUGGCAAAAGGAAGCAUCGAUGAAUUCGUCCACAAAGAGUGCACUUACGGACACAGACAGGCGUUUGUCCAGACCACUUGUGGUCUUGCAGGCAUAUCCUCACGGAAGUUCCCACAAGCCGGAAACCAGGAUUGCACUGGGUCUUGCUCUGUCACUCAAGCUGGAAUGCAGUGGCACCAUCACGGCUCACCGUAGCCUCAAUCCCUUGGGCUCAAGUCAUCUUUUGGCCUCAGCCUCCUGAGGAGAUGGGACUACGCCACCAUGUAGAGUGAACACUCAGAAACUGGCUCCUGAACGAAUCCGGUUCCUUCAGAACUCCAGCAUGCCCCCCUGGGUGACCUAUGUUUUCUGGAAAGCGGUUCUACAAAGCUGUGUUUUAGAGGAGGAAUCUUACUGGCAGACAGGAUUUGGCUUUGUUUAGCUAUCCGUACUGUUUCUGCAACACUUGCUUUUGCUACUGAAAGGAGUUAUGCGGUUUGCAACCUAAAACCACCACACUGAUUGUCAGUGGUGACUUUCUGAGUGACUGACGCAAGGUGGACCCUCAAAGAGACCUGAGGUACUUGUUGGCCGAUUUACCUUCACAUCAUAACGCACGCAGAGUGAACACCUCACAUGCAAGUACAGCAAGAAACCCCAUAUACCAGUGGGAAUGUUGCCACAAUGUCUCCCAUGACAGCGGACAGACCUGGAGCCGUGCAUUCUUUGGGGAGGAAUCGGCUCCUUCCAUUGGAGCUGUAGGAUCUCUCCCCUCUCACCAGGUCUCCCACACACGCACUUUUGCCCCUAGAGGGGCCUACUUGAAGCUCACGUCUUCAGUGUGCAGUGUGUCCACGCUCACAGUCCGCAGUGCUUCCUCUGAACUCUGGGAGCAAGUCUUUGCACAAAAAAGACACUUGGCUGACAGCAUCCGGAAAUCACCUGCAAUCCCAAAGCCUCCGGAAUGCACCUGCAAUCCCACAGCGUCCGGAAUGCACCUGCAAUCCCACAGCAUCUGGAAUGCACCUGCAAUCCCGCAGCAUCUGGAAUGCACCUGCAAUCCCACAGCAUCCGGAAUGCACCUGCAAUCCCACAUCCAUAGCAUCUGGAAUGCACCCGCAAUCCCACAGCAUCCGGAAUGCACCUGCAAUCCCACAGCAUCCGGAAUGCACCCGCAAUCCCACAGCGUCCGGAAUGCACCUGCAAUCCCACAGCAUCCAGAAUGCACAAUCCCACAGCAUCCGGAAAGCACCUGCGAUCCCACAGCAUCUGGAAUGCACCUGCAAUCCCACAGCAUCAGGAAUGCACCUGCAAUCCCACAGCAUCCAGAAUGCACCUGCAAUCCCACAUCCACAGCAUCCGGAAUGCACCCGCAAUCCCACAGCAUCCGGAAUACACCCGCAAUCCCACAGCAUCCGGAAUACACCCGCAAUCCCACAGCAUCCAGAAUGCACCUGCAAUCCAACAGCAUCCGGAAUGCACCGGCAAUCCCACAGCAUCCGGAAUGCACCCGCAGCCCCACAGCAUCCGGAAUACACCCGCAAUCCCACAGCAUCUGGAAUGCACCCGCAAUCCCACAUCCAGAGCAUCCGGAAUGCACCCGCAAUCCCACAGCAUCCGGAAUGCACCCGCAAUCCCACAGCAUCCGGAAUGCACCCGCAAUCCCACAGCAUCCGGAAUGCACCCGCAAUCCCACAGCGUCCGGAAUGCACGUGCAAUCCCACAUCGACAGCGUGUUUUCUCACUGUCCCUGGGGAUUCCAAGCCACUAGCCUCUGUUCCCACAGGAAAGUCUCUUUUUUGUCUCUCCUUCAAUUCUAUGAUUAUAUUCACGUUGAAAUAUAUCAACUUUAAAAAACACUUGUAUUGUGACAUAUCAGUUCUCAUACCUGUAAGGACAGCACUCCUAUCAGAAAUAUGAAUAUUACUUGUGAGUGUGACAAAUAAACAUAAACUCAAGAGUAGGUCUUUUCAAAUACAUUCUAGCUAAAAAAAAAAAAAAAAGCUAAAUGAACAUGCAGACCUCCAUGAAGAAUAAACAGCUGGCAAGAGAAUGUGUGAGCAGGGAGGGGCUCUUUAAUAUGAAUAAAAGGCUCAGUGGACUCACAAUGGCUGUUUGCAAAUACACGAAGGCACUCCGUAUAGAUCAGAGUCAGGAAUUGUUUUAUUAGGCCUAGAGAGAUAGAGCUACCAUCAAUCACUGGAUAUAAGUCACAUAGGAAGCCUGGCACAAAGUAAAAAUGUUCAAACAUGAAAUCAGCUGUCUCUGGGGCAAUGAGCUGUCACUACAGUUAUUUGAUGUUAGCUGGGCAUUGACUUGUGAGAAUAUUAUCAAGAAAAUUCAACUGCAGGUAGUCCUGAGUGAUGUCCAAUGUCCACUCCAGCAAUGGAACGAAAUGACAAUGACUACGCUGUGGUUUCCUCGGAUAUAGACGAAAUACAUCUGCUGAUAAACACAGGCUCCCAUACGUUUAAUGAUCAAUCCAGGCCUGCCUCCAGUAACAAACAGCAGAUCUUCAAAGACCAGCCCGGACACAGACAGCCCAGAAUUUAGGCCAUGUUCUUUGAAUAUCUACAAUAUUACAAAAUUCCAGUGUAGCUCACUGAGUCAGUGUGUGUGUAUAAAAUUAAAAAUGCAAAAAUUAUUUUUUCUGGUUCAGGGAUUUCUGUGAUAAAUGUUUUUCUUUUUAAAUAUGAACAGUAAGUCGAACAAUAAAUAAAUGUAAUAAGACAAGAGUAAGAGCCUUCUACUUGUGUAAAGACUUUGUGCUAGGAAGGUGUGUAGCCGCCUCUACAUAUUCAAUUUUAACUUUCUCUUAUUGUUUCUUGAAGGACAGGACUGCAGAGCUCACUGUUUAAGGGUGACUAUGCUCUCCUGUCCAUUCAUUCAUGGAGACCUGAGUUUUUCUCUAGGGACAUAUUAAAGUAGCCUGGAGUUAGAACAGCACAAACCCUUCAAAAAGUGGUAAAUUUCUCAGCGGAUUCCACAGUUGUCAUGAAUGUGAUUAAUAGGUGAUCAAGGCUCACCUCUUCAUCUGGAGCUACCUAGACAAGCAGAAAGGGAAAUUCUAUUUCCAGCUCCUAAGCAAAUAAGUAACUGAAAACAUUUAAUUUCUGGGAGAUCUUACAAGCAGGGCCACUCUAAAAUGAACACUGGGGAGUCAAAAAAAAAAAAAAAAGGAAAAUGACUGCUCCUUACCUGCACCAAUGACUCGGGUGAUGCUACCCUUGAAGAUUCCGUUGGUCCUGAUCCAACAGAACAUAGAGAGUGACACUGUGUAUCUUCUAUGAAGAAGCUAGCACAGUGUGGAAAAUUGGCCUUACAAAAAUGUGUCAUGUUCAUUACUUUUAAUUAAGGAAUUAAAUUAUGUUUUAAUUUCCUGGGGUUUAUCACACACUUAUUUAAUAGUAAAUUAUAUUAUUACCAGGAUUCAUGGUGUGGUGUGUGUGUGUGUGUAUGUGUGUGCAAAGUAGGAAACAUGAGAGAUAAAUGUAAUUUAAGCAUAGAAUGAAAUAAAAAUGUGUUACAGAAAAAAUGAA